Molecule: transfer RNA, 74 nt
Filed under: Kwoniella pini CBS 10737
Lineage: Eukaryota; Fungi; Basidiomycota; Tremellomycetes; Tremellales; Cryptococcaceae
Description: tRNA-Lys (TTT) (tRNA-Lys-TTT-1-1)
Rfam family: tRNA
About the family: Transfer RNA (tRNA) molecules are approximately 80 nucleotides in length. Their secondary structure includes four short double-helical elements and three loops (D, anti-codon, and T loops).
Source: RNAcentral
GCCCGCGUAGCUCAAUCGGUUAGAGCAUCCGACUUUUAAUCGGAAGGCUGGGGGUUCGAGUCCCCCCGCAGGCU